GCUAAAUUUAGUGCCGCUUUGGUCUUUACAAGUUUUCUCAUUUUGUAUGUAAGAGUAACCUUAUUUCCUUGGCGGCAGAAAUCU
Molecule: small nucleolar RNA, 84 nt
Organism: Capsella rubella
Lineage: Eukaryota; Viridiplantae; Streptophyta; Magnoliopsida; Brassicales; Brassicaceae
Rfam family: Small nucleolar RNA snoR110
Source: Rfam